CCUACGGGAGGCAGCAGUGGGGAAUAUUGGACAAUGGGCGAAAGCCUGAUCCAGCAAUGCCGCGUGAGUGAUGAAGGCCUUAGGGUUGUAAAGCUCUUUUACCAGGGAUGAUAAUGACAGUACCUGGAGAAUAAGCUCCGGCUAACUCCGUGCCAGCAGCCGCGGUAAUACGGAGGGAGCUAGCGUUGUUCGGAAUUACUGGGCGUAAAGCGUACGUAGGCGGUUAUUCAAGUCAGAGGUGAAAGCCUGGAGCUCAACUCCAGAACUGCCUUUGAAACUAGAUAGCUAGAAUCUUGGAGAGGUGAGUGGAAUUCCGAGUGUAGAGGUGAAAUUCGUAGAUAUUCGGAAGAACACCAGUGGCGAAGGCGACUCACUGGACAAGUAUUGACGCUGAGGUACGAAAGCGUGGGGAGCAAACAGGAUUAGAUACCCUGGUAGUCCACGCCGUAAACGAUGAUAACUAGCUGUUCGGGCUCUACGAGCUUGAGUGGCGCAGCUACGACAUAAGUUAUCCGUCCGUCGGGAGGUACGGUCGCGAGAAUUAAACUAACAAAGAAAGUUAGUACGGACGUGAGACGUAGCCGACGGACGACGACGAGGGAGGUUAGG
RNAcentral lists this ribosomal RNA (609 nucleotides) under uncultured bacterium. RNAcentral describes it as "bacterial SSU rRNA". The stretch from base 1 to 517 matches the Rfam family "Bacterial small subunit ribosomal RNA", at positions 338 to 873 of the family's 1533-position model. The record is from RNAcentral.